RNAcentral lists this ribosomal RNA (504 nucleotides) under uncultured bacterium. RNAcentral's name for it is "bacterial SSU rRNA". It matches the Rfam family "Bacterial small subunit ribosomal RNA", at positions 29 to 508 of the family's 1533-position model. The record is from RNAcentral.
AGCGAACGUUAGCGGCAGGCCUAACACAUGCAAGUCGAGCGAGAAAGAGGGGUUCGCCCCUUGAGUAAAGCGGCGUACGGGUGAGUAACACGUGGAUAAUCUGCCCUCCGGUGGGGGACAACAACCCGAAAGGGUUGCUAAUACCGCAUUCGUCGGCGAGCUCUGCGGAGCUCGUCGGGAAAGGUGCCCUCUACUUGUAAGGUACCGCCGGAGGAGGAGUCCGCGUCCCAUCAGCUAGUUGGUAGGGUAAUGGCCUACCAAGGCAAAGACGGGUAGCUGGUCUGAGAGGAUGAUCAGCCACACUGGGACUGAGACACGGCCCAGACUCCUACGGGAGGCAGCAGUGGGGAAUAUUGGACAAUGGGCGAAAGCCUGAUCCAGCCAUGCCGCGUGAGUGAUGAAGGCCCUCGGGUCGUAAAGCUCUGUGGAGAGGGAAGAACCCGUUCAGCAUCAGAUCCUGAACGUUGACGGUACCUCUUUAGCAAGCACCGGCUAACUCCGUGC